GGCAGUCAGAGGCGAUGAAGGACGUGCUAAUCUGCGAUAAGCGUCGGUAAGGUGAUAUGAACCGUUAUAACCGGCGAUUUCCGAAUGGGGAAACCCAGUGUGUUUCGACACACUAUCAUUAACUGAAUCCAUAGGUUAAUGAGGCGAACCGGGGGAACUGAAACAUCUAAGUACCCCGAGGAAAAGAAAUCAACCGAGAUUCCCCCAGUAGCGGCGAGCGAACGGGGAGGAGCCCAGAGCCUGAAUCAGUGUGUGUGUUAGUGGAAGCGUCUGGAAAGGCGCGCGAUACAGGGUGACAGCCCCGUACACAAAAAUGCACAUACUGUGAGCUCGAUGAGUAGGGCGGGACACGUGGUAUCCUGUCUGAAUAUGGGGGGACCAUCCUCCAAGGCUAAAUACUCCUGACUGACCGAUAGUGAACCAGUACCGUGAGGGAAAGGCGAAAAGAACCCCGGCGAGGGGAGUGAAAAAGAACCUGAAACCGUGUACGUACAAGCAGUGGGAGCCUCUUUUAUGGGGUGACUGCGUACCUUUUGUAUAAUGGGUCAGCGACUUAUAUUCUGUAGCAAGGUUAACCGAAUAGGGGAGCCGAAGGGAAACCGAGUCUUAACUGGGCGUUAAGUUGCAGGGUAUAGACCCGAAACCCGGUGAUCUAGCCAUGGGCAGGUUGAAGGUUGGGUAACACUAACUGGAGGACCGAACCGACUAAUGUUGAAAAAUUAGCGGAUGACUUGUGGCUGGGGGUGAAAGGCCAAUCAAACCGGGAGAUAGCUGGUUCUCCCCGAAAGCUAUUUAGGUAGCGCCUCGUGAAUUCAUCUCCGGGGGUAGAGCACUGUUUCGGCAAGGGGGUCAUCCCGACUUACCAACCCGAUGCAAACUGCGAAUACCGGAGAAUGUUAUCACGGGAGACACACGGCGGGUGCUAACGUCCGUCGUGAAGAGGGAAACAACCCAGACCGCCAGCUAAGGUCCCAAAGUCAUGGUUAAGUGGGAAACGAUGUGGGAAGGCCCAGACAGCCAGGAUGUUGGCUUAGAAGCAGCCAUCAUUUAAAGAAAGCGUAAUAGCUCACUGGUCGAGUCGGCCUGCGCGGAAGAUGUAACGGGGCUAAACCAUGCACCGAAGCUGCGGCAGCGACGCUUAUGCGUUGUUGGGUAGGGGAGCGUUCUGUAAGC
RNAcentral lists this ribosomal RNA (1173 nucleotides) under Escherichia coli. Its description in RNAcentral is "partial 23S ribosomal RNA". It matches the Rfam family "Bacterial large subunit ribosomal RNA", at positions 35 to 1248 of the family's 2925-position model. Lineage: Bacteria; Pseudomonadati; Pseudomonadota; Gammaproteobacteria; Enterobacterales; Enterobacteriaceae. The record is from RNAcentral.